GCGGGUGUCGUAUAAAGGCAUUACCUCAGCUUUCCAAGCUGAUGAUGAGGGUUCGAUUCCCUUCACCCGCUCCC
This 74-nucleotide transfer RNA is filed under the name Candidatus Parcubacteria bacterium. Its description in RNAcentral is "tRNA-Gly". It matches the Rfam family "tRNA". Rfam says of the family: Transfer RNA (tRNA) molecules are approximately 80 nucleotides in length. Their secondary structure includes four short double-helical elements and three loops (D, anti-codon, and T loops). Lineage: Bacteria; Candidatus Parcubacteria. The record is from RNAcentral.